This 466-nucleotide ribosomal RNA is filed under the name uncultured bacterium. RNAcentral describes it as "partial 16S ribosomal RNA". It matches the Rfam family "Bacterial small subunit ribosomal RNA", at positions 28 to 507 of the family's 1533-position model. The record is from RNAcentral.
GAUGAACGCUGGCGGCGUGCUUAACACAUGCAAGUCGAACGAUGAAGCCCAGCUUGCUGGGUGGAUUAGUGGCGAACGGGUGAGUAACACGUGAGUAACCUGCCCUUAACUCUGGGAUAAGCCUGGGAAACUGGGUCUAAUACCGGAUAGGAGCGUCCACCGCAUGGUGGGUGUUGGAAAGAUUUAUCGGUUUUGGAUGGACUCGCGGCCUAUCAGCUUGUUGGUGAGGUAAUGGCUCACCAAGGCGACGACGGGUAGCCGGCCUGAGAGGGUGACCGGCCACACUGGGACUGAGACACGGCCCAGACUCCUACGGGAGGCAGCAGUGGGGAAUAUUGCACAAUGGGGGCAAGCCUGAUGCAGCGACGCCGCGUGAGGGAUGACGGCCUUCGGGUUGUAAACCUCUUUCAGUAGGGAAGAAGCGAAAGUGACGGUACCUGCAGAAGAAGCACCGGCUAACUACGUG